AACGCUUCUUUCCUCCCGAGUGCUUGCACUCAAUUGGAAAGAGGAGUGGCGGACGGGUGAGUAACACGUGGGUAACCUACCCAUCAGAGGGGGAUAACACUUGGAAACAGGUGCUAAUACCGCAUAACAGUUUAUGCCGCAUGGCAUAAGAGUGAAAGGUGCUUUCGGGUGUCGCUGAUGGAUGGACCCGCGGUGCAUUAGCUAGUUGGUGAGGUAACGGCUCACCAAGGCCACGAUGCAUAGCCGACCUGAGAGGGUGAUCGGCCACACUGGGACUGAGACACGGCCCAGACUCCUACGGGAGGCAGCAGUAGGGAAUCUUCGGCAAUGGACGAAAGUCUGACCGAGCAACGCCGCGUGAGUGAAGAAGGUUUUCGGAUCGUAAAACUCUGUUGUUAGAGAAGAACAAGGACGUUAGUAACUGAACGUCCCCUGACGGUAUCUAACCAGAAAGCCACGGCUAACUACGUGCCAGCAGCCGCGGUAAUACGUAGGUGGCAAGCGUUGUCCGGAUUUAUUGGGCGUAAAGCGAGCGCAGGCGGUUUCUUAAGUCUGAUGUGAAAGCCCCCGGCUCAACCGGGGAGGGUCAUUGGAAACUGGGAGACUUGAGUGCAGAAGAGGAGAGUGGAAUUCCAUGUGUAGCGGUGAAAUGCGUAGAUAUAUGGAGGAACACCAGUGGCGAAGGCGGCUCUCUGGUCUGUAACUGACGCUGAGGCUCGAAAGCGUGGGGAGCAAACAGGAUUAGAU
This 747-nucleotide ribosomal RNA is filed under the name uncultured Bacilli bacterium. RNAcentral's name for it is "bacterial SSU rRNA". It matches the Rfam family "Bacterial small subunit ribosomal RNA", at positions 65 to 783 of the family's 1533-position model. The record is from RNAcentral. Lineage: Bacteria; Bacillati; Bacillota; Bacilli.